This 942-nucleotide long non-coding RNA is filed under the name Struthio camelus australis. RNAcentral describes it as "lncRNA (ENSSCUG00000009961.1)". The record is from RNAcentral. Lineage: Eukaryota; Metazoa; Chordata; Aves; Struthioniformes; Struthionidae.
GUUUAUUUUCUCAUCCCUAGUGGCAAUGACUCAGGACCAAGUCAUCCCUUUUUUUACAGGAAUUACCUAUGAAGGAAACUGGAAACUCUGUGAUGUCUCUCUGGCGUCUUUCCCUCCAGCUGGUGCCUCUGAACCUCUUCUGAAGGGGCCUGUGCAGAGCAGAGCUUCUGUAUUGCUGAUCCCAUAGAUUUGCUUCCUUCAGUUUCUGGAAGCAGGAACAUCAGUUAAUCAGGCUGCAGUUACGCAGAGGAUGCAAAUACUAGAGCCACUGAUGACCACAAGGUGUGCAUAUCUGAUCUUGAUCUAUAAUUGACAGUACAUAAAAUCACCACAGAGCACAGAGCACAGAACCCUCUAUGAUGGCAAUGCUCUGGCAACUCACAACAAAUAGAAAACAAAACCAGAAGUCAGGACUUGAAAAAACAGCUGAAGAUACCCAGAAAUGGCAACAAGAAAUUUUCACGGGUCCAGACAAUGAACAUACUAUCAAUAAGUCAGAGGCAGAAAUACUAUCACUAAAACCAUGGAAGAAGUCCUGGAAUCUCGGAUUCGAGUGCCGAGGGCUCAACAGGUGGUGCGGGGAUAAAGUUCUGGCAAAUCAAGUUCAGACUGUGAUGGCAACAGUGAGGGCUGCAGGCAGGUGAUGAGGUGCUGCUGGGGCCCAGGCCUGAGGAAAGAAACUACCUAGAAACAGCAAUACUUGACCUGAAAAUAAGGAUCCCAUUUGAACUCCAGCAUAAGCCUCUUCAGAACUCCACGCUUGGACUGAAUAUGUUCCUGGAGGAGUAGAGCACAGUUUCAUUAUUCCAGCAGAGUUGCACCCGCUUGCCUCAAGAGUUAAUUUGGCAGCUUCACUGCAAGGGACCGACUCAGAAGGUACAAAGUGUAUUACAGCUGAAAUGUUAUUAAAGUCUGUGCCUCCUUAGAAAUCCUUUCACAGCU